CGGAGGGCGCGAGCGUUAAUCGGAAUUACUGGGCGUAAAGCGCGCGUAGGCUGUUGUGUAAGUUGGGGGUGAAAUCCCACGGCUCAACCGUGGAACAGCCCUUGAUACUGCGCGACUUGAAUCCGGGAGAGGGUGGCGGAAUUCCAGGUGUAGGAGUGAAAUCCGUAGAUAUCUGGAGGAACAUCAGUGGCGAAGGCGGCCACCUGGACCGGUAUUGACGCUGAGGCGCGAAAGCGUGGGGAGCAAA
This 247-nucleotide ribosomal RNA is filed under the name uncultured bacterium. RNAcentral describes it as "partial 16S ribosomal RNA". It matches the Rfam family "Bacterial small subunit ribosomal RNA", at positions 526 to 772 of the family's 1533-position model. The record is from RNAcentral.